Molecule: ribosomal RNA, 253 nt
Filed under: uncultured bacterium
Lineage: Bacteria
Description: partial 16S ribosomal RNA
Rfam family: Bacterial small subunit ribosomal RNA
Source: RNAcentral
UACGAAGGGGGCUAGCGUUGCUCGGAAUCACUGGGCGUAAAGCGCACGUAGGCGGCUCUUUAAGUCAGGGGUGAAAUCCUGGAGCUCAACUCCAGAACUGCCUUUGAUACUGGGGAUCUUGAGUCCGGAAGAGGUGAGUGGAACUCCGAGUGUAGAGGUGAAAUUCGUAGAUAUUCGGAAGAACACCAGUGGCGAAGGCGGCUCACUGGUCCGGUACUGACGCUGAGGUGCGAAAGCGUGGGGAGCAAACAGG